UGGAUGGACCUGCGGUGCAUUAGCUAGUUGGUAAGGUAACGGCUUACCAAGGCAAUGAUGCACAGCCGAGUUGAGAGACUGAUCGGCCACAUUGGGACUGAGACACGGCCCAAACUCCUACGGGAGGCAGCAGUAGGGAAUCUUCCACAAUGGACGCAAGUCUGAUGGAGCAACGCCGCGUGAGUGAAGAAGGGUUUCGGCUCGUAAAGCUCUGUUGGUAGUGAAGAAAGAUAGAGGUAGUAACUGGCCUUUAUUUGACGGUAAUUACCUAGAAAGUCACGGCUAACUACGUGCCAGCAGCCGCGGUAAUACGUAGGUGGCAAGCGUUGUCCGGAUUUAUUGGGCGUAAAGCGAGUGCAGGCGGUUCAAUAAGUCUGAUGUGAAAGCCUUCGGCUCAACCGGAGAAUUGCAUCAGAAACUGUUGAACUUGAGUGCAGAAGAGGAGAGUGGAACUCCAUGUGUAGCGGUGGAAUGCGUAGAUAUAUGGAAGAACACCAGUGGCGAAGGCGGCUCUCUGGUCUGCAACUGACGCUGAGGCUCGAAAGCAUGGGUAGCGAACAGGAUUAGAUACCCUGGUAGUCCAUGCCGUAAACGAUGAGUGCUAAGUGUUGGGAGGUUUCCGCCUCUCA
Molecule: ribosomal RNA, 629 nt
Filed under: uncultured bacterium
Lineage: Bacteria
Description: bacterial SSU rRNA
Rfam family: Bacterial small subunit ribosomal RNA
Source: RNAcentral